Molecule: long non-coding RNA, 1259 nt
Organism: Lineus longissimus
Lineage: Eukaryota; Metazoa; Nemertea; Pilidiophora; Heteronemertea; Lineidae
Exons: 3
Source: RefSeq, a predicted model, not a curated record
GUAUACAAGCAGACAUGUACACAUGUUGUACUUCCGUACAUGCAUAUGCAUGUUGUACAUCCUGAAUGUUGCCGAACAUGAUGGGUUUCUCUCUAUUUUAUCUGAUUUCACACCACUGACUGGAAAAGACACUUCGCAAACUUGCAUAUAAUCUACAGCCAAGUCAUGAGUGCAGAGUUCCUGAACCCCAGUGUCAUAAUGGACUCCGUCUAUGGGCUCCUGAACCGCAUAGACUACCAGUUUGACGUUCGAAAGAAAACACAACGCCUACAGGAGCUUGCUUACGCCCAUCCAUUUUGGGCAACAUUUAUCGUCAUGUCAUUAGCCGUACUUACAGUUCCCAUUGGUGCCUUUAUAAUGUUUGCUGGAGGAACGAUUGCAUUCACUUUUGUGGGAUUCGUAUUUGUUGAAGGUACCCUGCUCACAAUUGGUGCGAUAUUCAUGAUCGCCAUCCUCAGUGUCCUCGGUUUCAUCAGCAUCAGUUUUGCCGGUUGCGUAUUUGUAAUGUACUUCAUACUAUCGGGAGGACUGACAUUUCUAUCUACAACUUCUGAUAAAAUUAAACGUAAGAUGAACCAACAGAUGCACAAUUCGAGAUCGCACGAAGUGUCGUCAUCCGAGUUGUCCCCUGACAAGCAAGAUAACGGCUUCGUGAAAAAUUGUGGUAUGGGCCAAGAAGGCGAUGGAUCAAUGACGGCUGAUGCUCAAAAAGAUGAAUGAAGGGUCACAGUAUUCUGUUGGUGAUAUCUUUGUGUUCAUUCUGUUAGCUUGAUACUGCUACCUUCAUGCAAGUACAGUAGAACUUUCUAUUUAGGACAGUCGGAGGACUGUCAAAUGCUGUCCUUUAUAGAGAGGUGUCCAUAUUACAGAGGUAAAUUUGUAUACAUGGACAGGGCAGUGACCCAACAGAAAUGUCCACAUACAUUGUACAAUUUGUUGGACAAACAUAUACAGUCUACAUGUAUAAACUGUAAAGUGACAACUUAUUUUCUGCUUUCACACAUCAAAGUUGAUUAACAAUGUGCUUCAAAAUCAGUCCAAGUCUUUGAAAAUGUUCAGAUAUGAUAUUUGUUGAUGCAUACAAAAUGGACUCUAAAUAUUUUUUCUUGUUUAAUUAAUUUGUCUUUUGUUGAAAUAGAAUAUUUUAUGACCCCCCUACUGCCGUAGUGAAUACGUUGUGAGUACUUGUAAAGUGUAACAUUUUUUUAAAAAACCUUUUAUAUUUGAGAAGAGAGUUAAUAAAGGAGUUGAUAUUUGCA